UGUGGAAUAUUGGACAAUGUGGGGAACCCUGCUCCAGCCAUGCCGCGUGUGUGAAGAAGGCCUUAUGGUUGUAAAGCACUUUAAGCGAGGAGGAGGGUACUGGUAUUAAUACUACCAGGUACUGGCCGUUACUCGCAGAAUACGCACCGGCUAACUCUGUGCCAGCAGCCGCGGUAAUACAGAGGGUGCGAGCGUUAAUCGGAUUUACUGGGCGUAAAGCGUGCGUAGGCGGCUAAUUGAGUCGGAUGUGAAAUCCCCGAGCUUAACUUGGGAAUUGCAUUCGAUACUGGUUAGCUAGAGUGUGGGAGAGGAUGGUAGGAUUCCAGGGGUAGCGGUGAAAGGCGUAGAGAUCUGGAGGAAUACCGAUGGCGAAGGCAGCCAUCUGGCCUAACACUGACGCUGAGGUACGAAAGCAUGGGGAGCAAACAGG
Molecule: ribosomal RNA, 430 nt
Filed under: Pseudomonadota bacterium
Lineage: Bacteria; Pseudomonadati; Pseudomonadota
Description: Proteobacteria bacterium partial 16S ribosomal RNA
Rfam family: Bacterial small subunit ribosomal RNA
Source: RNAcentral